This is a long non-coding RNA of Leucoraja erinaceus (little skate), 3272 nucleotides long. RefSeq lists it as uncharacterized. Lineage: Eukaryota; Metazoa; Chordata; Chondrichthyes; Rajiformes; Rajidae. The record is from RefSeq and is a predicted model, not a curated record. The transcript is spliced from 2 exons.
GGACAAGCAGAAGAAAGGAAGUAAGUAAGUAACAUUUACUUAUAUAGCACUGUUUAAGUUAACUGGCACCAAAAAGCUUUACAUAAAAUAAAUAAUAAGCACAAAAGAAAAGAAAUACUUCUGCAAUCAUCCAGGUUCCACUGGGUGCUUCCCUGGAUAGAGAUCUAGAAAAUGUCUCCUGCUCUGAGGAGAGGAGCAUUCACGGUCAGUUUCAGUCUGACCCAAAGCAAGAAUCUCAUUUAGGCCCGCUGGAGGGGCCAUGUCAGCGCAGGUAUCCUCAGGGGCCUGCGGCAGCACCUGUUUUCAGGGCUACCUACAAAUCUCACUCUCAAUGGAGAGGAGUGUGAGUGAUCAGUAGGUAACUGAUCUCGAAUUAAAGUAUGAACAUACUGAAGCACAUGCAUAUGGCCUCAAGAGACAGCAGUUGGCAGAAUAUCCGCACAAAUGCCGGCAAGGGAACAGCGCUAUCAGGGUGACUUUGGAGAAACCAGCCGCCGAAUCCUCUCUUCAGGUAAGACCAGAAGAAGGAAGCAAAAACUGUCGGACCAAUCAAGGUACCAACGACAAGCAAACUUCAUCAGUAGGCGACAACACACCCCACACCUCCAUAGGGGGUAAGCAGUUCACUGAAGCCGGUGGUAGCUUGAAAGCUGGGCACGGAAAUAUGAUCAGAGUCGUCUUUCAAGGCCGACUCAGAAUUAUGGCCAGAACUGUCCGACAAGGCAGGCUCAGUAUGAUAAGGUUUUCAGACCAAGACCCAAACAGAGGUCAGGAGAAACAUGGAAUCCACACUUCCUACCAGUCCAACUCCCAAUCAAGGAGAGAAAAGGAACCCGCAUCAGGGGCCUUUGGGCUUACCACAAGACCACCGGUAGCCAUGGAGGUAGGUGGGUCUGGGUUUACUGAAACAAGGGAUUGUGGACCAGUUACAUGUUGGUAAUUUUACUCUUGUGUUUUUGUUCAAAAUGACAAUAACAUGAAUUUCAGAUCUGGUUUUAAAAAACAGAUAACAACAUGUGAUUAUUUUUUACUGCACAACAUACAUAGGUUCCAAGCAGACUUGGAACUCGGACCGGAAUUGUCUUCAAGGCAGGCCCAGUAUUUUGGGCAGGAUUGGCUUCCAGGACAGGUGACAGAUGGAGGAUGUCACUUCAUCCAGGUUUAACUCAUUUGUGCAGUACAGACAUUUAGAAAUAGCCAUUUUUGUUAUGGUCUAACAACUGUUUUAUAGGAGUUUCCUAUAAAAUGCUCACAUGGCAUGCAUCGACCUCAAAGAUGAAUACUAUUCGGUGUCUAUUCAUUAAGAACAGGAGAUAUUUGAAGUUUAACUGGAUGGCAUGGCUCUGCCAAAUGGGUUGACAUCAGCUCCUAGACUAUUGACUAAACUACGGAAACCAAUUCAGGGACUACAAAGGUCUCAAAACCACAUAGUAAUGGCAUAUUUGGAGGACAUUUUCAUUUUGAAGUCACCAAGAAUUGGCAGAAGCAUCAGUCAAGCAAACCAAAACCCUGUUUGAAAGAAUUGGUUACCUCAUCCAUCCAGUUAAAUCAAAAUUGACACCUACAAGGUAAAUUGAUUACCUAGAAUUUACUAUCAAAAACAGUAAAUAUGUUGGUGACUUUGCCCAGGGGCAAACGACAAUAUAAAUUAAGCCUGCAAUAACCUGAUAGUCAAAUUCUAGCCAUCUAUCAGGCAAACAGCGAGUGUAAUUGGCAAAUAGUAGCUGCAUUCCCAGCAGUAUGGGCCUUUGCAUUACCAGAACUUACAGCAAGCAAAGGAACGAACACUUAGAUUACAUGCAGGCCGAAUUGGCAAACUAUGGAUUGCCAGCAGAGGCCAUUGUUGAGUAACUAUGGUGGAUAACGAAUGGGAGACAGCUCAGGGAAAUUUUGCUCGAAAGCCAUCGAGGGUUCUUCAGACCUAUGCAAGCGGCUAAGGAUGGGGAGACACCAACACAGUCUAAAGCUGUGGGGGCAGAUGGAAUGAGCAGGAGUCUGUAAUACCCCAACACAUGGAUUACCUAGAAUUACCCGGAAUUACCCAGAAUUGUUGGGGGCACAAUAUGGACUCAAGGUUCUCUGUAGCGAUAUGCAACUGGUGCUUGUUCAAAUUCAGAUUGAUAACACCACUGCGGUGGUAUAUAUCCAUUAACAAGGGUGGUGUAAAAUCUGUAUCUUACGACAGAUUGUCGAACCUCAUUUGGCACUGGUGUAUCAAGAGGAAUAUUUGGGAAAUCUACGAGGUAGAUAUAACACGGUGACGGAUGCUGGAUCACGAAUGUUUAAUAACAAUACAGAAUGGAUGUUGAAUUAGACAGUAUUUAAUAAAAUAACUACACGAUUUGGCAUACCAGAUGUUGAUCUGUUUGCAUCUAGACUAACCAUUAGUUACCCAGAUACGUGUCCUGCGAGCUGGAUCCAGGAGCAAGGCAGUGGAUGCUUUCUCCCUCAAUUGGGGAGGAAUGUUUAUGUAUGCUUUCCGCCAAUUUGUCUCACAAACCGAUGCUUGACAAAAAUCAAGCAAGACUAAGCCACAGGCAUAUUGGUAGUGCCAGAUUGGCCUACUCAAGCCUGGUCCCCAAAAAUGUUGGGAAUUAUAGUCCAGCCAGUAAUGGCUGUACCCAAGAGCAGGGACCUCCUAGUGAACCCAGUUACAGGGAGCAAUCAUCCACUACAUGAACGUAUAACUUGUUGGUCUGCAGAUUCUGAGGAGGCCAUUUCAAGGCAUAGGACUGUCCGAACAAAUACAACACAGUUCGGAUAACGGAUGUCUUGGAGUUCCUAUCAACUGUACUAUAACUAUAAACUAAGUUAUAGUGCAUAUAUAGUGCCAGAGGCGCACUCUCCUCCAAUCUGAUGCCGGAAGCAGGGCACAGUUCGAUAGGAACGCAUCCCUUUACAACAAAAUUCAUGAAGGGAAUUUACAAUUUAAGACCUCCAAGGCCAAGGUACACUGACACAUGGGAUGUGGGUGUGGUACAAACCCUACUUUGACCGUGGGGACCGCCUAUAACUAACCCUGAAGGUGGUAUGCUGACAAAGAAUCCAGACACUGCAAAAGCUACGGUUGGACUACAUGACCACCAAUAUGAACAACAUAACAUUCCUAAUCAGGAACCUGAUAAACAGAGCAGGCCAGGAAUGCCAGGGAUGGAGAUCCAGUUAUUGGCAUAUCCAGAGGACCAACGGUUGUUUGGGUGGUAACAUACUAACACCACUAUCUGAGAGUUACGGAGAACCUCAGAGGCUUAGAACAAUCGGUCCUCAUCAGC